This 210-nucleotide small RNA is filed under the name Arabidopsis thaliana (thale cress). RNAcentral's name for it is "ATSL097080". The record is from RNAcentral. Lineage: Eukaryota; Viridiplantae; Streptophyta; Magnoliopsida; Brassicales; Brassicaceae.
UAGGUUGCCCAAACCAAAUUACCACUACACCGACAAUGAGUGGCUUAGAGCCAUCACAGUUAAGGCUAAAGAGGACUCAGGCGAAGAAGAAACAAGAACCUCCAACAAAAACCAAGCAAUAAAAACCUAGAUCUAAAAAGAGAAAAAAGCAGAGAACCAAUCGACGUCGUGACCAAUCCAAAGAUCUUUCCACACAAAGACAUAAAACUA